Molecule: ribosomal RNA, 449 nt
Filed under: uncultured bacterium
Lineage: Bacteria
Description: SSU rRNA
Rfam family: Bacterial small subunit ribosomal RNA
Source: RNAcentral
AGAGCGAACGCUGGCGGCAUGCUUAACACAUGCAAGUCGCACGAUCGGGGGUAACUCCGGUAGUGGCGGACGGGUGAGUAACGCGUAGGUAUCUAUCCUUGGGUGGGGGACAACCACGGGAAACUGUGGCUAAUACCGCAUGACGACUGAGGUCCAAAGGCCGAAAGGUCGCCUGAGGAGGAGCCUGCGUCCGAUUAGCUUGUUGGUGGGGUAAUGGCCUACCAAGGCUGCGAUCGGUAGCUGGUCUGAGAGGAUGAUCAGCCACAUUGGGACUGAGACACGGCCCAAACUCCUACGGGAGGCAGCAGUGGGGAAUAUUGGACAAUGGGCGAAAGCCUGAUCCAGCAAUGCCGCGUGUGUGAAGAAGGUCUUCGGAUUGUAAAGCACUUUCGACGGGACGAUGAUGACGGUACCGUAGAAGAGCCCGCUAACUUCGCGCCAGCAGCCGC